Molecule: RNA transcript, 4072 nt
Organism: Oxyura jamaicensis (ruddy duck)
Lineage: Eukaryota; Metazoa; Chordata; Aves; Anseriformes; Anatidae
Gene: CNIH3
Gene name: cornichon family AMPA receptor auxiliary protein 3
Exons: 7
Source: RefSeq, a predicted model, not a curated record
GGGCGGAGGCGCGGGCGCCCGUCUCCCCCCCCACCCCUCCCGGGAGCUUGGGGGUCACUGCUCUGCCGUGCCCGCUCCCCGUCAUGGCCUUCACCUUCGCCGCCUUCUGCUACAUGCUGUCGCUGGUCCUCUGCGCCGCCCUCAUCUUCUUCGCCAUCUGGCAUAUAAUUGCCUUUGAUGAGCUACGGACAGACUUCAAAAGCCCUGUAGAUCAAUGCAACCCAGUCCACGCAAGAGAGCGACUGAGAAAUAUUGAGCGUAUUUGCUUCCUCCUGCGAAAGCUGGUGUUGCCGGAGUACUCUAUCCAUAGCCUUUUCUGCAUAAUGUUUUUAUGUGCCCAAGAAUGGCUCACACUGGGGUUAAAUGUUCCUCUGCUUUUUUAUCACUUCUGGAGGUAUUUUCGUUGCCCAGCAGAUAGUUCAGAACUAGCAUAUGAUCCACCCGCAGUCAUGAAUGCAGAUACCUUGAGUUACUGUCAAAAAGAGGCCUGGUGUAAGCUAGCUUUCUAUCUCCUUUCUUUCUUCUACUAUCUUUACUGCAUGAUCUACACUUUGGUGAGCUCUUAACUGAAAGACCAUCACUGAAGACUGAAAACAACAAAGACUGUGGAGGUACAAGGUGUGUUCCAGUAAAUGGCUUUCAAAACCCAAGCAAAACCAAAAAAAUGCAACAAGGUGGGCUGAGUUACAGAACUAUUCACCUCUUCAGGGAUAAUGCUACUCAGCUAAAUGCAGUCAUCAUAAGCCGUAGCCCCUACUGUCUUCCAGGGAGCAAAGUUUUUUGUUGUUGUUUUUGCUUUUAAUGACUGUUCUGUUCUGAGGAAGCAGAGGGCAAGAUCAUCAUACACAGCAAGAACAGCUACACAAUGCAUUCUGAAAAUGAGCAUUGACGAGUUCAGAUAAGAUGUGUGACCGUUCUUCAGGGAUGUUCUUGUGACAUUAGUCAUACAGGGAUAUUGGAUUUUGGGAAAUUGUUUUCAAGUGUUCUUUUGUUUUUCACCCAUAACAAAAAUAACAGAAGAAUUUAGAAAUUACAGUGUUCUGUUUUUUAAUGAUAUGCUCUUCCUGUAGAUAAAUGUCCAGUAUAUUUCUGUAUUUCAUUUAUGAUGCAUCAAUAGCACAGUAAUACAUGUAAAUACAUUGGGAUUGACCUAAGCGUGUCAAGCACUUACCAGAGUAGUGCUCCUCUGACUGCAAAAAAGACUGGUAAAAGCUGCAUAUGUUAAAGAGGAUUGUAACAUCAAUGUUACCUUCUUUAGAAUGCUGGAUAACAAAAUGCUGGAUCAGGUGAUCAUGGGCUGUAGUUCUAUUGUGCAGCUUUAUUUCUGCUGUCAAAUUUAAGCUAAAACUAAGGCACAAAAUGUUUUUGUCUCAUAUUAGCUGGGUAUUGGAAGUUGUUCUUUUUUAUAAUUUAAAAGUUUUUUUCAUUAUUUUACCAUAUAAUUUAUAUUUAAUUGUCUAUAUAUGUGAUGUAUAUCUUCAUAUAUAUGUAUAUACAAAUGCACAUCUAUACAAACACAAUCUAUUCAUAUUUUAGGUUUAUCUGUUUGAUUUAUAGGUCAGAAGCAUUAUAUGUCCAGAACUGCUGCUAAGACUAGUAAGAUUAGUACCACCACACGCACAGAAACCACUUGCAUUGUCAAUGCGGUAAUAAGGCGUUACUAGCAGAGAUGCAGAGUGUGCAAAGAGGCCCAUCUGUAUGGAAACAGCUUCGUUACAGACGGCAUUGUUAGCACUAGCUCACUGUUCACCCUCCCAAAUUUGUUCUGGCUAUUGAGAGCCAAGAGAUUGUUCUUUAGGCCUUUGGGCAUGGGGUUUCAGAAGGAGAGGCCCAGUCUCACAUUCAGCACCAUCCCUGUGCUAACAAACCCUGUUUUAGAGCAGAGCAUGGUGGAGAAGCAAUGGCUGAAUGCAGUAAUCUCAUGUCCGGCAAGGUCAAAACUGAGCUGGAGUUACUGCAUUCAUGCAGUGACAAAGUUUUUGUUGGUGUGAUCAGACUAUGUUAACAAAAUUAAAUCCUUUUAGCCUGCAAAGUACAGUUGGUGAAUUAAAACUGCUUGUCACCCAUGCCAACUCCUGGGCAUUGCUUGGAAUAGUGCUAACUGGCUUGUGCAAAUAGUAUACUGGGGUCAUUCUAAAAAUAUUUAGAAGAUCAAGUUGUUCCAAGCACAGACAUUCUUUAAUUUAUCAGUACAGACGUAGCCAAUAAGUCUUGCUGUAUGCAGUUUAACUUCUUACAACCUAGCAUUCCCACUUCUGGGAAAAACACAACAAGGCUGCCAAUUCAGGUUACUUUGGAAGCUAAUUUGGGCUUGAUGGUUUAUAAGUUUGGAUUGCACACACUACAGAAGUGGGUAAGUGUGCUCUUGAAAUCACAUUGACCUUGCAAUCAGUAUGGCUCUGUUUGCUUGGAGUGUGCUUGAGCUAAGAAACUUUGCUGGGUCAUUACAGAGCUAACUCUGAUAAAGUUCUGUUGCCAUGAUAUAAUUAAUGCAAAACUGAUGAAAAGCUGUAGUUUGUCUUUAACUGAAUUUCUCUUGUACGUACUAUAACUUAAAGCACCUCGUUCUGCAGAAGUAUAGGAGCUAACUUUACAAGAGAAAGUCAGCAUCACAGUGAUAACUACUAAGCAUCUUGUUACCUUAUAAAACUCUCAGAUCUGAGUAGGUGAUUGAAUCCCUCCAGAAUGCAUCAGAGGUAGAAAAAAAUGAAUUCAGGUUUUCUACAUUCUUUAUAUAUGCUUUAAAAUCAGUUUCAUGAAAAGUCCUGGUGUGUUUUUGUGAGGCUGAAUGGGUGAAAUUAUGAUCAGGUUUUGCAGGAAAAGACAAUUUUCAAAUCCUGAGCUUUAGGCAUGAACUAGAUCACUAGCAGAUCAGUUGAUUGUCUACAGGGCUCUGUGAGUUUUUGUAACUGGCAUUGCUAUCUAAUUCUUGACUUUGUAUACAAAGAGGCGCUUACAUUCACAGGUCUUCCAAAUGUGACCUCAGGUGAUUGCAAAGACCUACUGUGUACUGCUUGAAUGGACCUGCUAGGUCACUCAGAACAAGUUCUCUGUUUCAGGCAACCUCAUUAAUGUACUUCUCAAACAUCACUUGAAAGCAGAACAGUUGGUUUGAUCCCACUACUGCUGUCAGCAUUUCCAAGAUCUCGCUGCUCUCAUAAUAGCAAGUUUUUCUUCAUUUCCAGAUUAACACUUGUUCUUGCAUAAUUCAUUCCAUUUGCUUUUGAGCCAGCAUUAGUCUAAAUACCCCUUAUCUCAUGACGUUUAACACCCUGAUACAUAGGGAGAGCAGUCCUUUUCAGCCUCUAUUUGGUUAGAAGUGAGCUGUCUCUUCUUCCAUCCUCCCAUAGAAAAGCUCUCCAUUCUCCAUGUAUGUCUUCUUUAUAAGAUUUCUCUGCUGUCUUUCCAGUCAAAUUAAUUUUUCUUGAGAGUGGAUUAUGAAAGCUGUUCAGAAAAUUCUGAAUAUCUUACCCUAUCUCAUCCUUACUAUGAAUAGACAAUGAAAGCUAACUUUCUCAUUUUUUACCAAAAAUCCUUAUUCAAAAAAAAAAAAAAAAGUAAUCCCACUGUUCUUAAUAACAUUUUGUUCCUCUUAAAGAAAGAUUUUAAUUUAAGUCAAUGGAAAAAUUGUCUAAUAUGAGGAUACUUUCCCUUUCCUGGAACUUAGUGAAGUUCCUCCUGAGUAGAAAUAACAUAUGAAAGUGGCAAAAACAUUAAUUAGAGUAUGUGGUCAACAUAAAGCAGUUAUCUCUGACCCAGAACUCAAGAGUAGUAAGUGUCCAAGGUGUCUGACAGUAUCAAGAAGUUGCUAAUACUGUGGGCCUCACAGACAACAGAGUGAGAUACAGCCCUCAGUGUGUUCAUUGCUCACUGUUGUUGCCCAGACAGGUUGCAGUAUCUUGCUAGAUUACCCCAACAGACCAACAGCACUUGGCUGCAGUGCAGCACGAAAUCAUUAUGUGGCAGUGCUGCUGUUGUGACAGGUAGACUUCAAUAUCGUAUUCACGCCGGUGUCUACAUGAGUCAUUUUCUUACAAUGACAGGAUUGUCUCCCUGGAUUUAUCAACAGGUA